Molecule: ribosomal RNA, 497 nt
Filed under: uncultured bacterium
Lineage: Bacteria
Description: partial 16S ribosomal RNA
Rfam family: Bacterial small subunit ribosomal RNA
Source: RNAcentral
GAUGAACGCUGGCGGCGUGCCUAAUACAUGCAAGUCGAGCGAACGGACGAGAAGCUUGCUUCUCUGAUGUUAGCGGCGGACGGGUGAGUAACACGUGGAUAACCUACCUAUAAGACUGGGAUAACUUCGGGAAACCGGAGCUAAUACCGGAUAAUAUUUUGAACCGCAUGGUUCAAAAGUGAAAGACGGUCUUGCUGUCACUUAUAGAUGGAUCCGCGCUGCAUUAGCUAGUUGGCAAGGUAACGGCUUACCAAGGCAACGAUGCAUAGCCGACCUGAGAGGGUGAUCGGCCACACUGGAAGUGAGACACGGUCCAGACGCCUACGGGAGGCAGCAGUAGGGAAUCUUCCGCAAAGGGCGAAAGCCUGACGGAGCAACGCCGCGUGAGUGAUGAAGGUCUUCGGAUCGUAAAACUCUGUUAUUAGGGAAGAACAUAUGUGUAAGUAACUGUGCACAUCUUGACGGUACCUAAUCAGAAAGCCACGGCUAACUACGUG